CCUAAUUGACAUAUGAUUUUAUAUAUAUAUAUAUAUACCUUUUACAAACGUAUGAAUAAGUGAACUUGACAGGCAUUAGUAACAUUUCUAUGAGCGGGGCAGCUGUCCUGUUCUCAGGUCGCCUGCUGUGACCUUUCACAACACAAUAGAUCUGUUUCUGUCUCCACGCGAUGCGCGCAACCGCCGCGCCGACGAGGAGCGAGGAGGACCGGUAAGGACCGAGGAAGACCGAAGAAGAGCGAGGAGCGAGAAGCAGCGGCCGUUGAGGAUCCCUGCCGUACUGAGGAGGUCGUUAGUCGGCUGGUUCUGCGCGAAGAGAUGUUUUAUUAAAUAAUAUUUGAUGCCACUCUGGAUUAUUUCCGCGGAAUGAAUCAGGACAGAGAAGCACGUUGAAAGAGUUAAUUGACCUGUUAAUUUUGCAUAUUAGUUCUCAUGAGUUGUUUUUCCAAAUAUGGUCAUAAAACAGUUGACCUCGAGCACAUCUACUCUCGGGCUAUUAUUGGACAUGCAGCACGUGACUGGGACCGCGCGUCUCACACCUAACUGGGCUCUUUGUGGCCGCACGUGUGGCAAUAAAUGCAGAUGCGCGUCGUGCGUCAGUGGGAAAUGCUCCAAUCACCCCGAACCAGCCCGAGGGCAUCACACGCGAGGCUUUCUGCAGAUUCAUCACCCGCUGACGUCCACUUGAUAACCGGCUGAUGUCCACUCGGUGACCCGCUGGUCUCAGCCGGCUCUUUCAGUGGGAGGUUAUUUGGUGAUGUCACGUGUCCCGCAGCAGUAGCCGGGUUCCAACACUUGUGUGUGGUAUCGGUCCCGGGUGUGAAGGGGAGUCUCUGGCGGCCAGACAGGGUACGAUCAGCAUCGAACAACCAUUACAGCAACCGAAGAAGAGCCGCAGAAUAGCAACGGGAUCGUUUUCCAAUCCAAUGUGACCAAACACAAAGUCUUAACUGUAUUGGUGUCUUGUUCUGUUUUUACUCCAGAGAUAGUUAGGCUCUGCAUCCGAUAAAGAAAAUAAAACAUUCUGGUUCUGAGCUCUUGUAUUUCUGAAUCCAGUUGAGGUCAUUUCUCAGCUCCUCUGUUAAAAAUUUGAUCGUCCAUUAAUGGCUCUUGAAGGUCAGGCUUUGAGCUGUUGCACCUCUCGUGUGACUCAUUUUUUAUCUUAACAGCAACCAGAAUGAUGACGUUAGCCGAAAGAGAGUUUGCCUCGGAGUAAUUAUUGCACGGAAUACAACUGUAAGUACGGUUAGUUACAAUAUGUGGCUAUCAGUAGUGCUUACAUUUAGGUUGUUUACUUGAGGCAAAUGAAAAGGAAUAUUGUAUUGUGCUAUGUUAACACUAAGCUAGCUCGCUAUUUUGUUAAAAACGGUCUCCAGUGAGCAAGAGUGUGAACGAGCCAAUUGGAAAUACAAGAAAUAAUAAUUAUUGACAUCUCUCUCUAAGUUAGUGAAAACGAAAUGUAAUAGUGUCCAUCAUAACGCCAUUGUACCGAUGAAUCAUUGAAUUCAUUGACGAGAUAUAAGACGAUCCGUUGGGAGAGAUGGCAGCCGCGCCCGUCACAUGAAAGAGAAGCAGGACACGGACACGGCUGAUGGAGGUUUGUGGUCUACAGGUGUACAAGGAAACACGUUUUUAAUUUCUUCUACUGUGGUAGAAAUGUACAGGCAUUUGUUGUGAAGCCUAGGCUACUCCAAGCCAUAGCCGCCCUAAACUAUAUUAUUUCAUGAUAUUUCCAUAUCAAGUCAAAUUUCACCAUAACCUUGAAAUUAUGCCUCUUGUGUUAUCAUUUAACAAGCCAAACAACAGAGCAACAAUCUAUGAACUGUCUGGAAUCAUGGAUAUCCGUGGCCCCAAACAGGCCCCCGGCCAGAAAAUCCCAAUGGGGCCCUUUCUUUGAAUCCUACAAAUGCCACUGGUUGUACCAGGAACCUCAGAUAUGAUGUAAAUAUAAACGUUCUCAGUUGUUUAUUUUGAACAUGAGCAGAAGGUAUGUGCAAGGUGGGAAGGGAUAGACGUUCAUCCAUUACAGGCUUCACUGCUGUCAGUAGUUUCGCUCUGCCAAGGUACAAUCUUAAAAGCACUUCAUACUGUACGAGAUUGAAAUGAUUCAUACUUAGCCUUUAAUCAAGGGGCUUGAAAAUGUGUUUCAAGUUCAGCAUUCGCGUUAUGUUUCAUUUUUUGCAAAACGGAAGGGUCCUUGUCUCAUCAUCGUUUCACUUUGACGUCGAACCUGUCAAGUUUUUCGGCUGGAAAAUGAGGAAAUGUGGCGCAAUGAUUCCGAAUCAGACUGCUAACCUGGAGUUUGCCCAAAAGUUAACCUAAGGCAAGUUAUAUUUGCUGGUAAGACUCUAAAGGUCGUGCGAAUGUGUCUGAAUAAUAAGAUUCCUUUGUUAUUCCAAGCUGUGUGGGCAGAGUCGAGUUAGGAUGGUACAAAUAGAUGGUUGUUGCAUAACAGGGCCACUGUACCUGAGGUUGUGUAGACGUUUUUACGAAACAACGGUUUGACGAAUACGUUAUGGCCGAGAUCACGGAGAGCAUUUAUAUGUGCUUUACUUAGUAGUUGGUGAAAAUGUCUUCUAUGAAGUAAAGUCGGUUCAUAUUUAACGUGAGUCCCCAUAUAAAUAAAUUUAAAGGUGAAAGAUGAAAUGUGCUUUUGUAUGUGCCAUUGAAAUAUUUAGGAAAAUUCAUUGUUUCAGAAAAAAUUGAUUUUGUAGCCUGAAAAUAUUUCCAGAAUCUCAUCCAGUGGGGUCCGGUCCCGUUUUCCCCGUUGGUCAGAGUUGCUGUCUUUGAGCUGAUUCCUCAGCAUGUCGAUAGAAGAUGUACGGAUCACCCCGUUCCAAUUUGCUUCAACUAUUUAUUCCUUUUUGAACGUAGUCUCUUUUCUUCAGUAAGAACUAGUGGAUUUUCCAGCGACACAGUGAAGUUAACAGUAUUGACAUCAAAACGUAUUGUUGGUUUUUGUACUUUUCAUGAGAUUUAUUUGAAAAUGAAAAUAAAAAUAAAGUCAGCUUUAACCAUC
Molecule: long non-coding RNA, 3019 nt
Organism: Gasterosteus aculeatus aculeatus (three-spined stickleback)
Lineage: Eukaryota; Metazoa; Chordata; Actinopteri; Perciformes; Gasterosteidae
Source: Ensembl